RNAcentral lists this ribosomal RNA (292 nucleotides) under uncultured bacterium. Its description in RNAcentral is "partial 16S ribosomal RNA". It matches the Rfam family "Bacterial small subunit ribosomal RNA", at positions 505 to 796 of the family's 1533-position model. The record is from RNAcentral.
GUGUCAGCAGCCGCGGUAAGACGUAGGGGGCGAGCGUUGUCCGGAUUUAUUGGGCGUAAAGCGCGCGUAGGCGGUUCGUUAAGUCGGGUGUGAAAACCCGGGGCUCAACCCCGGGCCUGCAUCCGAUACUGGCGGACUCGAGGCAGACAGGGGAGAGUGGAAUUCCCGGUGUAGCGGUGAAAUGCGCAGAUAUCGGGAGGAACACCGGUGGCGAAGGCGGCUCUCUGGGUCUGUCCUGACGCUCAGGCGCGAAAGCUAGGGGAGCAAACAGGAUUAGAUACCCGCGUAGUCC